Molecule: ribosomal RNA, 355 nt
Filed under: uncultured bacterium
Lineage: Bacteria
Description: bacterial SSU rRNA
Rfam family: Bacterial small subunit ribosomal RNA
Source: RNAcentral
GAUGAACGCUAGCGACAGGCCUAACACAUGCAAGUCGAGGGGCAGCACAUGAGUAGCAAUACGAUGGUGGCGACCGGCGCACGGGUGAGUAACACGUAUGCAACCUGCCUUCUACUAUGGGAUAACCCGUUGAAAGACGGACUAAUACCGGAUGUGGAUACUUUUUCGCUUGUGAGAGUAUCUAAAGCAGUAAUGCGCUUUAGGAUGGGCUUGCGGCCUAUCAGCUAGUUGGUGUGGGUAACGGCCUACCAAGGCGACGACGGGUAGCUGGUCUGAGAGGAUGGUCAGCCGGACUGGGACUGAGACACGGCCCAGACUCCUACGGGGGCAGCAAUUAGGAAUCUUGCGCAAUGGG